UACGUAGGGCGCAAGCGUUGUCCGGAAUUAUUGGGCGUAAAGAGCUCGUAGGCGGUCUGUUACGUCCGCUGUGAAAACCCAGGGCUUAACCCUGGGCUUGCAGUGGAUACGGGUAGACUAGAGGCAGGUAGGGGAGAAUGGAAUUCCCGGUGUAGCGGUGAAAUGCGCAGAUAUCGGGAGGAACACCGGUGGCGAAGGCGGUUCUCUGGGCCUGACCUGACGCUGAGGUGCGAAAGCGUGGGGAGCAAACAGG
RNAcentral lists this ribosomal RNA (253 nucleotides) under uncultured bacterium. RNAcentral describes it as "partial 16S ribosomal RNA". It matches the Rfam family "Bacterial small subunit ribosomal RNA", at positions 524 to 776 of the family's 1533-position model. The record is from RNAcentral.